Molecule: microRNA, 23 nt
Filed under: Glycine max (soybean)
Lineage: Eukaryota; Viridiplantae; Streptophyta; Magnoliopsida; Fabales; Fabaceae
Description: gma-miR5377
Source: miRBase by way of RNAcentral
CUGAAGGAUCGAUGUAGAAUGCU